GAUGAACGCUGGCGGCGUGCCUAAUACAUGCAAGUCGAGCGAACAGAUGAGGAGCUUGCUCCUCUGACGUUAGCGGCGGACGGGUGAGUAACACGUGGAUAACCUACCUAUAAGACUGGGAUAACUUCGGGAAACCGGAGCUAAUACCGGAUAAUAUAUUGAACCGCAUGGUUCAAUAGUGAAAGACGGUUUUGCUAUCACUUAUAGAUGGAUCCGCGCCGCAUUAGCUAGUUGGUAAGGUAACGGCUUACCAAGGCAACGAUGCGUAGCCGACCUGAGAGGGUGAUAGGCCACACUGGAACUGAGACACGGUCCAGACUCCUACGGGAGGCAGCAGUAGGGAAUCUUCCGCAAUGGGCGAAAGCAUGACGGAGCAACGCCGCGUGAGUGAUGAAGGUCUUCGGAUCGUAAAACUCUGUUAUUAGGGAAGAACAAAUGUGUAAGUAAAUAUGCACGUCUUGACGGUACCUAAUCAGAAAGCCACGGCUAACUACGUG
RNAcentral lists this ribosomal RNA (497 nucleotides) under uncultured bacterium. RNAcentral's name for it is "partial 16S ribosomal RNA". It matches the Rfam family "Bacterial small subunit ribosomal RNA", at positions 28 to 507 of the family's 1533-position model. The record is from RNAcentral.